Molecule: ribosomal RNA, 300 nt
Filed under: uncultured Ignisphaera sp.
Lineage: Archaea; Thermoproteati; Thermoproteota; Thermoprotei; Desulfurococcales; Desulfurococcaceae
Description: bacterial SSU rRNA
Rfam family: Bacterial small subunit ribosomal RNA
Source: RNAcentral
UCUAUUGCGGAGGAGGCGGGGGUGGUAAUGCGGAGGGGGCUGGGGUUGUUGGGAAUGACUGGGGUUAAGGCGCCAGUAUGCGGCUUUGUAAGUGAGAUGUGAAAGCCCGGGGCUCAAGUCCGUAAUUGCCUUUAAGACUGCAUCGCUAGAAUUGUGGAGAGGUAAGUGGAAUUCCGAGUGUAGAGGUGAAAUUCGUAGAUAUUCGGAAGAACACCAGUGGCGAAGGCGACUUACUGGACACAUAUUGACGCUGAGGUGCGAAAGCGUGGGGAGCAAACAGGAUUAGAUACCCGAGUAGUC